GUGGGGAAUAUUGCACAAUGGGGGAAACCCUGAUGCAGCAACGCCGCGUGAAGGAAGAAGUAUUUCGGUACGUAAAGCUCUAUCAGCAAGGAAGAAAAUGACGGUACUUGACUAAGAAGCCCCGGCUAACUACGUGCCAGCAGCCGCGGUAAUACGUAGGGGGCAAGCGUUAUCCGGAUUUACUGGGUGUAAAGGGAGCGUAGACGGUAUGGUAAGUCAGAUGUGAAAGCCCGGGGCUCAACCCCGGGACUGCAUUUGAAACUAUCAGACUAGAGUGCAGGAGAGGUAAGUGGAAUUCCUAGUGUAGCGGUGAAAUGCGUAGAUAUUAGGAGGAACACCAGUGGCGAAGGCGGCUUACUGGACUGUAACUGACGUUGAGGCUCGAAAGCGUGGGGAGCAAACAGGAUUAGAAACCCCAGUAGUCC
This 425-nucleotide ribosomal RNA is filed under the name uncultured bacterium. Its description in RNAcentral is "partial 16S ribosomal RNA". It matches the Rfam family "Bacterial small subunit ribosomal RNA", at positions 354 to 796 of the family's 1533-position model. The record is from RNAcentral.